Molecule: long non-coding RNA, 859 nt
Organism: Malurus melanocephalus (red-backed fairy wren)
Lineage: Eukaryota; Metazoa; Chordata; Aves; Passeriformes; Maluridae
Exons: 7
Source: RefSeq, a predicted model, not a curated record
CAAAUGGAGCUGGCAAUUUUGAGAAGAUCUGGCAAAAGGGUAUGGUGGCAGUGUGGAAUAAACUGAAGGAAGUAUUAGCCCUGACAAACUGAAGGCUGGUGAUUUGCAGUCAGGUGGUAAGAACACUGUCAUUUCUCCAAUCCCUGCUCUGCUCCCAGAAGGGCAAGAAAGUUCCUUCCCAAAUGCUGGUAAAGGAUUUCUGCUGCCUCAGCUUAUUGCAGAACUUAAAGUUGUAGACCAUAACCCUGUAACUGGCCAGUGCACAUGCAGAUUUGGGAGGUGCUAUGAUGGGACAUGCCUGCCACUUUCCCUCUUAGUGGAAACCGAUGAAGUAUCUGGCAGGAUCAGUUACUUUAAGGUGUGAUUUCCUGCUGGAAUAAGAUCUGGAGGCCAAAGGGGAGUGGCGGGUGGGUCUAGAUCUAUCAAUGCAAAAGACCAAUAGGAGCAAUAAGCUUCGAGUUUUUCUAUGUGUCUCCUCAAAACACAAUAGUCAGAGCUUUUUCCUGGAGCUGAAGAUUUGAAUCUCUUAUUCUCUAUUUGGAGCCAGAGGGAGAGGAGAAAACAUUGAUGCCAUUUCCUGAAAAACAGGCUGAAUUUGAUCUCAGCUUGUUAUUCCUGCCUUAGCCAUGCACUGGAACAAUGUGUCGUGCUACUCAAGUCAUUUUAGAAAUAUAUUUUCCUUUGCCCUUCUCCAGCUCCCUCCAAGUUGCUUUUAGAAGUGAUUGCUCACACGCAGGCUUGUGCAAAAAUUGGAACCGAAUUAUUACUUUGUCCUCAGAGGAUUACAACCUUUAGAAACAUCUGCAUCUUGCCAAAUGAGGUAUGAAAUCCUGAUUUACACCAUCAGUUUUCUAUGCAU